UACAGAGGUCCCAAGCGUUGUUCGGAUUCACUGGGCGUAAAGGGUGCGUAGGUGACGGGGUAAGUUUGAUGUGAAAUCUCCGGGCUUAACCCGGAAACUGCAUUGAAUACUAUUCUGCUCGAGGUUUGGAGGGGGGACUGGAAUUCUCGGUGUAGCAGUGAAAUGCGUAGAUAUCGAGAGGAACACCAGUGGCGAAGGCGAGUCCCUGGACAACACCUGACACUGAGGCACGAAAGCUAGGGGAGCAAACAGG
RNAcentral lists this ribosomal RNA (253 nucleotides) under uncultured bacterium. Its description in RNAcentral is "partial 16S ribosomal RNA". It matches the Rfam family "Bacterial small subunit ribosomal RNA", at positions 524 to 776 of the family's 1533-position model. The record is from RNAcentral.